Molecule: unclassified non-coding RNA, 363 nt
Filed under: uncultured bacterium
Lineage: Bacteria
Description: contains 16S-23S intergenic spacer region
Source: RNAcentral
UCCCUGUUACCAAGGCAGUAUAGCUAGAGAAAUUCAACUAACUAAAAGGGUUGCGCUCGUUGAUGGACUUAACCAAACAUCUCACGACACGAGCUGACGACGGCCAUGCAGCACCUGUCACCACGUUCCCGAAGGCACAGUCUCCUUUCGGAGUCCUUCGUGGGAUGUCAAGCCUGGGUAAGGUUCUUCGCUUACCGUCGAAUUAAACAACACGCUCCACCGCUUGUGCGGGUCCCCGUCAAUUCCUUUAUGUUUUAAGCUUGCGCUCGUACUCCACAGGCGGGAUGCUUAACGCGUUAGCUUCGCUACUACACGGGUCGAUACGUAUAACAGCUAGCAUCCAUAGUUUACGGCGUGGACUAC